UACGUCGGGCGCAAGCGUUGUCCGGAAUUAUUGGGCGUAAAGAGCUCGUAGGCGGCUUGUCACGUCGGGUGUGAAAGCCCGGGGCUUAACCCCGGGUCUGCAUUCGAUACGGGCUGGCUAGAGUGUGGUAGGGGAGAUCGGAAUUCCUGGUGUAGCGGUGAAAUGCGCAGAUAUCAGGAGGAACACCGGUGGCGAAGGCGGAUCUCUGGGCCUGUACUGACGCUGAGGAGCGAAAGCGUGGGGAGCGAACAGG
Molecule: ribosomal RNA, 253 nt
Filed under: uncultured bacterium
Lineage: Bacteria
Description: partial 16S ribosomal RNA
Rfam family: Bacterial small subunit ribosomal RNA
Source: RNAcentral